ACUGCAAGAUGAAAUACAAGAAAAAAAAAAGCUUUACUAGCAAAAGUUCAUAAUAGGGUGAAAGAAGCCGGAACUAAAGCUAAUGAACUUAAAAUGUCACUGGAGAAUCUUUGUGAUUCGGCAAAGACAGAAAUUGAGGCAUUAGCAGAAGCAGAGAAUGAAUUAAUGAUGAUUGAGAGAGAUCUAAAAGAAGCAGAAAAGG
Molecule: long non-coding RNA, 202 nt
Organism: Salvia splendens (bonfire salvia)
Lineage: Eukaryota; Viridiplantae; Streptophyta; Magnoliopsida; Lamiales; Lamiaceae
Exons: 2
Source: RefSeq, a predicted model, not a curated record